This is a non-coding RNA of Orycteropus afer afer, 72 nucleotides long. NCBI's taxonomy places the organism in Eukaryota, Metazoa, Chordata, Mammalia, Tubulidentata, Orycteropodidae. The record is from the annotation of a RefSeq genome assembly.
GGGGAUAUAGCUCAGUGGUAGAGCAUGUGCUUCGCAUGUAAAAGGUCCUGGGUUCAAUCCCCAGUAUCUCCA